RNAcentral lists this ribosomal RNA (410 nucleotides) under Cerinomyces cf. tortus. RNAcentral's name for it is "Dacrymyces cf. tortus partial small subunit ribosomal RNA". Lineage: Eukaryota; Fungi; Basidiomycota; Dacrymycetes; Dacrymycetales; Cerinomycetaceae. The record is from RNAcentral.
UGAUGGAGCCAAUUAGAAUUCAUUAGUGGAAAAAGCGCUAAGAAAAAUGUAAUAGAAGAUAAUGACACCAUAUUACGAAGAGUACAGACCAAUGGCCGUGCCAGCUGUUGCGGUAAAACGGCUUGUACGAACGUUAGUCUACUUAAAUUGGCAUAUAGGGUUCGUAGAUGUUCUCAUUCAAGUUUCCCUUUUUGGAAUAUAAUGAAUAUUGUUUAAUAGGAUUUAUUGCUGGUCACAAUUUUAAGGAUGAUUAAAUGAUAUUUGUCAUAUGAUUAUAUAUAAAAUAUGACGCAAUUAUGAAUUUUGCUAACACCUAAAAAAAAAAUAGCCCUCCUAUUUUGAAAUAGUUCUUUUCUUUACGAGUGCAAUAAGAAUUUAUUUCCCUAUGGGAGACAUAGCGCUUUUUUUUU